This 429-nucleotide ribosomal RNA is filed under the name Chloroflexota bacterium. RNAcentral describes it as "Chloroflexi bacterium partial 16S ribosomal RNA". It matches the Rfam family "Bacterial small subunit ribosomal RNA", at positions 355 to 776 of the family's 1533-position model. Lineage: Bacteria; Bacillati; Chloroflexota. The record is from RNAcentral.
UGGGGAAUAUUGCACAAUGGGCGCAAGCCUGAUGCAGCCAUGCCGCGUGUGUGAAGAAGGCCUUCGGGUUGUAAAGCACUUUCAGCGGGGAGGAAGGCGGUGAGGCUAAUAACCUCACCGAUUGACGUUACCCGCAGAAGAAGCACCGGCUAACUCCGUGCCAGCAGCCGCGGUAAUACGGAGGGUGCAAGCGUUAAUCGGAAUUACUGGGCGUAAAGCGCACGCAGGCGGUCUGUCAAGUCGGAUGUGAAAUCCCCGGGCUCAACCUGGGAGCUGCAUCUGAUACUGGAAAGCUUGAGUCUCGUAGAGGGGGGUAGAGUUCCAGGUGUAGCGGUGAAAUGCGUAGAGAUCUGGAGGAAUACCGGUGGCGAAGGCGGCCCCCUGGACGAAGACUGACGCUCAGGUGCGAAAGCGUGGGGAGCAAACAGG